AAACCACGGGGUUGUUGGGAUUCGCUGCCAGCGCCGACAUCGCGAUUACCACUGCCGGAAGCGGAAAUGGCGGCGGAAGUGGAAACGGCGACGAAAGGCGAGACAGGCCGCGCGGGAGGUGGGGGUUUGAUCAACUGAACACUGCCUUUGAGAGGUUUACAGGACAUCCUUCAAUGUCCUGACUGUGCUUGAGUAGAAGUCAUGCUUUCUGUGGCAGAAAGAUGAGCAAGGCCAGGGAUGGGCAGUAGUACAAGAUGAAUGAUGGCUCAAGACGUCUCUCUGCCAAAAUACAUAUUUAGUCCUCUGUGCCAGGUAGGAACAAGUGUGAAAGGAUGUUCAGAGUCUACUCUUGCUUGUGUUACUGAACCUUUUGCUGUUCUUCUCUGAUGGGUUUUGCUUUUUGUCAUAGGAGAGAAUGUCUGUUUGUCCAGGUGAGUUCUGUCUGUCCUGCAGUUUGACAGGCCAUUUCUUCUCCCUCACUGUUAGGCACUAAACUGGGCUUGUGUAAAUUGCCAGAUGCUUGCUUUCUGAGAAGGGCCACUUGUGAAAGGGGGCAAAAUGGACAUCUGAGAGUAUAAAGAUGAGUCACUGACUGAAAGGGACAGACAUGGCUGGAAAACGGAUUUAUUUUCCAAAGCCUUCUGCUGCUUCAGUCUUCUGCAUGUCAUGUCAAGUGUGCCAGAAAAUGACAGGUCUGAAGCUGCAAGGAGAUUUCAAGAACUCAAGGAGGUGGAGAAAGCCCACACAAACUGAGGAGGGGGAGAACUUGAAUAGAAGCCAGCCAGACAUUCCAUCUCCCAGGAGAAACAUGGCAGCCUCACCACCAGCUGGGAUGUGGCCAUGGGACCCUGCUCAGCUGUUCCGUCAGGGAGAGAAAGAGCCUCGUGAUGGCAGAAGCUCAGGGUAGGAUGGUGCAAGAAUGAAGAAAGGGAACUAUCUUCAUUCAUCCUCAAGAGAGGAGGACUAAAAAGUAGCAACAUUUGCAACAUUGCAACAGUUGCCUCACUCUUUGCCAAUGAUUUCAAGUGCAUAUGGUUUCUGUACAGACCUGUUCAGUACUGGCCACCAAGCUUCCCAGGAUAACCUGCCAGUGACCAUCAAAGGCUGCAGAUAUCUCAGAAGAAUGUUGACCAUUAAACCUGACAUUUGUGAUUGAAACAAUAAAGCCAUCAAACCAAACCCA
Molecule: long non-coding RNA, 1183 nt
Organism: Passer domesticus (house sparrow)
Lineage: Eukaryota; Metazoa; Chordata; Aves; Passeriformes; Passeridae
Exons: 3
Source: RefSeq, a predicted model, not a curated record